UACGUAGGGUGCAAGCGUUGUCCGGAAUUAUUGGGCGUAAAGAGCUCGUAGGCGGUUAGUCGCGUCUGCUGUGAAAACUCGGGGCUUAACCCUGGGCCUGCAGUGGGUACGGGCUGACUAGAGUGCGGUAGGGGAGACUGGAAUUCCUGGUGUAGCGGUGAAAUGCGCAGAUAUCAGGAGGAACACCGGUGGCGAAGGCGGGUCUCUGGGCCGUAACUGACGCUGAGGAGUGAAAGCGUGGGGAGCGAACAGG
This 253-nucleotide ribosomal RNA is filed under the name uncultured bacterium. RNAcentral's name for it is "partial 16S ribosomal RNA". It matches the Rfam family "Bacterial small subunit ribosomal RNA", at positions 524 to 776 of the family's 1533-position model. The record is from RNAcentral.